Molecule: long non-coding RNA, 388 nt
Filed under: Homo sapiens (human)
Lineage: Eukaryota; Metazoa; Chordata; Mammalia; Primates; Hominidae
Description: non-protein coding lnc-RARB-1:2
Source: RNAcentral
GGCAGGGGCUGAGGGCACAGCCAGCGGGCGGCGCGCCGCGGACUCCAAGGCAGCCCGCCAAAAGAAUCCUGAACAUCAUCAUAAAAAGACAGUCACCAGUCCUGCUCAUCUGGAGGACUGUUCUCACAAUCUUCAGCAAGGAGAAACUAGUUGCUACUCAAUUUGGUUCAAUGUAUGUUAGAGAAUUCGCUUCUAUGUGGAGUGCAGUAUGCUGGAGAGGGGCCAUCAACACACCCAGUUCUCUUGCAUGAAGAGUCUACCCUGGUGCCAGAACCUGCCUUGACUCCAAAGAUAAGUUGAGACUGUCCUACUUUAUCUUACUUUUCAUCCUUACUACCCUCUCCCAGCAACGCUUCCCCACCCACAUGUACAUAUGUGCCAGAUGACA